RNAcentral lists this ribosomal RNA (468 nucleotides) under uncultured bacterium. RNAcentral describes it as "partial 16S ribosomal RNA". It matches the Rfam family "Bacterial small subunit ribosomal RNA", at positions 28 to 507 of the family's 1533-position model. The record is from RNAcentral.
GACGAACGCUGGCGGCGUGCUUAACACAUGCAAGUCGAACGGAAAGGCCCUGCUUUUGUGGGGUGCUCGAGUGGCGAACGGGUGAGUAACACGUGAGUAACCUGCCCUUGACUUUGGGAUAACUUCAGGAAACUGGGGCUAAUACCGGAUAGGAGCUCCUGCUGCAUGGUGGGGGUUGGAAAGAUUCGGCGGUUGGGGAUGGACUCGCGGCUUAUCAGCUUGUUGGUGGGGUAGUGGCUUACCAAGGCUUUGACGGGUAGCCGGCCUGAGAGGGUGACCGGCCACAUUGGGACUGAGAUACGGCCCAGACUCCUACGGGAGGCAGCAGUGGGGAAUAUUGCACAAUGGGCGGAAGCCUGAUGCAGCAACGCCGCGUGCGGGAUGACGGCCUUCGAGUUGUAAACCGCUUUCGCCUGUGACGAAGCGUGAGUGACGGUAAUGGGUAAAGAAGCACCGGCUAACUACGUG